RNAcentral lists this ribosomal RNA (241 nucleotides) under Wolbachia endosymbiont of Cimex incrassatus. RNAcentral's name for it is "partial 16S ribosomal RNA". It matches the Rfam family "Bacterial small subunit ribosomal RNA", at positions 1188 to 1428 of the family's 1533-position model. Lineage: Bacteria; Pseudomonadati; Pseudomonadota; Alphaproteobacteria; Rickettsiales; Anaplasmataceae. The record is from RNAcentral.
AGUCAUCAUGGCCUUUAUGGAGUGGGCUACACACGUGCUACAAUGGUGGCUACAAUGGGCUGCAAAGUCGUGAGGCUAAGCUAAUCUCUUAAAAGCCAUCUCAGUUCGGAUUGUACUCUGCAACUCGAGUGCAUGAAGUUGGAAUCGCUAGUAAUCGUGGAUCAGCAUGCCACGGUGAAUACGUUCUCGGGUCUUGUACACACUGCCCGUCACGCCAUGGGAAUUGGUUUCACUCGAAGCU